CGCAACGAGACAGCGCACCGUGCGGAACCGCACGGUGCGCUGUCUCGUUGCG
Molecule: microRNA precursor, 52 nt
Filed under: Curtobacterium sp. ER1/6
Lineage: Bacteria; Bacillati; Actinomycetota; Actinomycetes; Micrococcales; Microbacteriaceae
Description: microRNA mir-228
Source: RNAcentral